Molecule: non-coding RNA, 1665 nt
Organism: Ailuropoda melanoleuca (giant panda)
Lineage: Eukaryota; Metazoa; Chordata; Mammalia; Carnivora; Ursidae
Source: the annotation of a RefSeq genome assembly
CUCCCUCUCUCUCACCAGUAUCUGCAGGUGCCUCAGGGAAGCAGAGGCUGAGGUCCUAACCUGCCCUCUGCCACCCACCCAGCCAGUCUCCUCCCAGCAGGUGCAGCCAGGAGGUCAAGCUGGGUUUCUUUCCAGCAGGUGGGAAGCAGAACCAUGCUGGGUCCCCUUGCCCUCCUGUGCUCUCUCUUGUUUCCCGGCCUCGGAGCAGGACUCAAGCUGGAGCAGCCUGCUUUUGUGGUGGCGCGCUUGCCUUCGGACCGCUCAGCCACCCUGACUUGCAAAGUUGACAGCUCGGUCAGCUACAUCCACUGGUACCGCCACCAGGAGGGUGAGGCCCCCAGGAGGCUCCUGUACCUCGACAUGUCCAGGGGCUAUGCGCAGAGGGAUUAUCCUAUGAAAUCGGACAAAGUCAAUGCCGAGAAGGGCAGGGAUGGCUACAGCUGCACCCUGUCUGUGCUGAAGCUGGAGAAGAGCGACGAGGGCGUGUACUACUGCGCUGCCUGGGAUGGAAUAGCUCGGAGCAACAAAGUGUUUGGUCCUGGCACAAUUCUCAGGGUUACAGAUAGAAGUCCAAAUGCAGACAUUUCCCCCAAGCCCACAAUUUUUCUUCCUUCAAUUGCUGAAAUAAAAGCCCAGAAGGCUGGAACAUAUCUUUGUCUUCUCGAGGACUUUUCCCCAGACAUUAUCAAGAUAGAUUGGCAAGAAAAGGAUGACAAAACAAUUCUGACAUCCCAGCAAGGAGACACCAUGAAGACUAAAGACACAUACAUGAAAUUCAGCUGGCUGACCGUGACUGAAGCGUCACUGGAUAAAGAACACAAAUGUAUCGUCAAACAUGAGAGUGAUAGAACAAAGGUUAAUCGAGAGAUUCUUUUUCCUUCAAUAGACAAAGAUUUGAUGGAGGCAAUCCAAUCCGAAGGGGACUCCCAGGGCCAUUCAGAGACAAAGCAAAACACGGACGUGGUAACUGUGAGCCCUGUGCGUUCAGAAUCUUUCUCGCCUAUUCCAAGCGCUGUGGAGCUUGCUGCUAUUAACUCCAUAAAUGCUUCUCUGAAUGAUGAAAAUGACACCCUGCAGCUGCAGCUCAUGAACACGUCUGCCUACUACACCUACCUCCUCGUCCUUGUGAAGAGCCUGGUCUACUCCGCCAUCAUGGCCGUCUGUCUGCUCGGGAGAUCAGCGCUCUAUGGCAAUGGGAAGAGUUCCUAACACAUGGUGACACAAGGGUCCACUUCUUCCCAUUGGCUGUUGUCCUUAAAAGUGUGUGCUGAGGAUCUAGUGGGACUUCUUUCUGGGUUAUUUCAGUUCACAUGUGUCUUUUUCUCUUGUGUCAUUAUUGCAGAAUGGGUUUACAAAUCACUGGGCAAACAGAAACUUUCACUCUGCAGCAAGAACAAAUGCUGCCAUGACUCAGGGGCGGGGCCAGGGACCAUCCACAGGAGCCUCAGCACCGCUCUCUCCUCAGUGUCCACCAGCCCCUCAGCCACCCAGACCCCACGCCUCUGCGCACAGCCAGCAUGAAGCUUCUAGUCGUGUCCCCCGGGGCUCUUUCACCAGAUGACCGCCUGGAAGCCUUUUAUUUUACAUACUUGGAACCUGCCAUCCUUGCUACCUGAAGCUUGUACUGUUUUUCAUCAUAGGCACAAUAAAAGCAAUCAAAAUCUA